RNAcentral lists this ribosomal RNA (246 nucleotides) under uncultured bacterium. RNAcentral's name for it is "partial 16S ribosomal RNA". It matches the Rfam family "Bacterial small subunit ribosomal RNA", at positions 523 to 769 of the family's 1533-position model. The record is from RNAcentral.
AUACGUAGGUGGCAAGCGUUAUCCGGAAUUACUGGGCGUAAAGGGUGCGUAGGUGGCCUGACAAGUCAGGGGUCAAAGGCAACGGCUCAACCGUUGUAAGCCCUUGAAACUGUCGGGCUUGAGUGCAGGAGAGGAAAGUGGAAUUCCUAGUGUAGCGGUGAAAUGCGUAGAUAUUAGGAGGAACACCAGUGGCGAAGGCGGCUUUCUGGACUGUAACUGACACUGAGGCACGAAAGCGUGGGGAGC